GUGGGACGCGGCGCAGGGGCUGCCGCGGUCCUCAAGCCCGGCCCGGCUCCGGUACCGACAACAGAAAGGCCACGCCCCGCCUCCGUCGCCGUGCGCUUUUUAUUGAAUUAAAAUCGCUCUGUGAAAGUUACAGCGGUUGGCGGGGGACGACCCUUGCCCGGGCCGCCCCUCACGGAGCCGGCGCCCCCCCGGCUGCUGCCCGCGCUUCUUCAGCCCUAAAGCGGGUCCGGAUCCCCACGUUGCCUUCGCCUCCUUCGUGCGGCACCUCCGCGCCCGGCUCAUCAGGUGAAUCCAGCCGUCGGAGAAACGCUACGGGACGUCUGCCGUGGAAGGCAUGCAAACGAUAGCUUUUCUCAGUCAACACCUCCAAUUCUCCAGUCAUUGUGGCAGCUCAAGCUCAGCGACAACAACUUACAGGUGCUGAAGUGUUCAUCCCAGAUGCAAGUGCAGAAACUCCCGAAUCUUUCUCCAGGAGUGUUCCUGGGCAUGAGCGUGCGCUUUGCUCUCUCCACCCCCCAACACAGGCACCCCCAGAACACGAUCCAGAGCUACCUGACAAAAUGGAGUAGAAGGAGGAUCGAUUCGGUGGCCUGCUCCUGGAUAACUCAGCAGUUCAAAGUUUUCUUUCCCAUGCUGGCGUAGGCGCCCAAUUGCUAGCUCAGCGUAUAAGGAGCUCUUCCACAUACGAUCAGCUUCCCCUACUACUAGGAGAAAGUGACCUUCUGCUUUUUCUAUGGGGAUUGUGCAAGAGGAAUUGGCAGGAUUUGCUGGGUCAUCCAGAGCUUCAAAAGUGUCAAAUACACCAGUGUCAGAAACGCUGACCUUAUUCAUAUCAAAACGCAGCCCAGGCAGAGUUGUCUCACCAUAAUGGAGGUCUGCAACCGUGUUCGAACUACAGCCGGAGAUACAGACAGCAGCCACUACUUCUGGUAGGAAGGUGAUCAUGGAGAGUGCUAAUUCUGCACCUUUCCCAGUCCCAAUCACUCCAACUCCUGGCCCCUUCACCUUCAGAUUAAGAUGCGGUUGCAGGGAAGAGAGGAAGAAAGGAAUAAAUACAUGUUAUAAUAGGGUUAGCCGUUAAAUGUCUUUGAAGUUGUGUUAUUAAAAAGAAAAAAAGUUAAUUAUUGAUGUGACCUGUUGGAAAGCUAUAGCCUGGACCCAGACUUCUUCAGAGCCAAUAAUAAAUGUCAAACACAGUAAAAUAACACUGGUAUCACAUUUGUGCUAGGAACAACAAGUACAAUCACUUGGAACUCAACCGCUGUGUAUUUUCUUGCAAAUAUUUUCCCCCAAACAGGUAGCAGGAAAUUCAAAUACAGUCAAUUACAAAAUAUGUCCCUGGCACAUAAAGUCAUCUCACAAAUGACAUUUGAGAAUUAGAUAUGUAUUCAGCCUUUUCCUGUUCUAGCCUGGAGAGUAAAACAAAGGAACAUCUCAAGUUAUCAAAUCAAAUCAUCUGUAGCACUGAGCAGUGCUGUGCCACCCUCUUGUAAGCUAACUGCUUUCAUUAAAACAACAAACAAAACCCCACAUAAUCACCACAUACGUACAUCACCACUGUUCCAGCUGAAGGUUGUUCCAGCACUUCAUUGUCCUCGUGAUCAGCAUUUGUCAAUUUUCCAAUGUGCAUUUAUUUAAUGGCCUGCUUGUGGUGGAAGAAAUACACUCUGCAGUGAUACGCAUUGCUGCCUACGUAGGACCUACACUUCUUCCAUUACGGAGCCUAAAUCUGCCCAAAGACAUUCCAAGAAAAUCACUGCCACCACGUGGGCAUGGCUACCAAAUCUUCCCUAGUUCCUUGUCUGGAGAGAUCUCUCCUUACACUCACCUUUGGGUGACGCUGUAGAAAUCUAGCUGCCUCCUCAAAGUACUCAAGUUUAAAUUCUUUCAUGACCUUAGGCAGAUCUUCAAAGUCAAAAUAUGGCAGAGAAAGAGCUGCAAAACCACGGGUAGCCAGGAGACUGGAUCUAAAUUCAACCAAACCUCCUUCAUCACCAUACAUGUCAAUGACUCCUGGAAAGGGGCCAUCCCCUGGAUUGAGAAGAGGUACAGAGCACAAGUUAUCAAACAGGACUCUAAGAAGUAUCUAGCUAAGUUCGAAAAUCAAAAUAUAGAAAGCAUUAGAUGUUUUCUGUAACUACUCAUAAAUUUUCCAUUUGUACAGCUGA
Molecule: long non-coding RNA, 2168 nt
Organism: Lagopus leucura (white-tailed ptarmigan)
Lineage: Eukaryota; Metazoa; Chordata; Aves; Galliformes; Phasianidae
Exons: 2
Source: RefSeq, a predicted model, not a curated record